CCCUUAGAUGUUCUGGGCCGCACGCGUGCUACACUGAGUGGAUCAGCGGGUCAGGUUGCGCGAAAGCGUUUCCUAAUCUUUAAAUCCGCUCGUGAUGGGGAUUGACGGUUGCAAUUUUCUGCCAUGAACGAGGAAUACCUUGUAAGCGCGGGUCAUCAUCCCGCGCUGAGUACGUCCCUGCCCUUUGUACACACCGCCCGUCGCUCCUACCGAUUGAGUGGUCCGGUGAGGCUUUGGGAUCUGAGCGGAAAGAGCGUUUCGCUGUUUCUGCUCGGAAAACUCAGUCGAACCUUAUCAUUUAGAGGAAGGAGAAGUCGUAACA
This 322-nucleotide ribosomal RNA is filed under the name uncultured eukaryote. Its description in RNAcentral is "partial 18S ribosomal RNA". It matches the Rfam family "Eukaryotic small subunit ribosomal RNA", at positions 1470 to 1796 of the family's 1831-position model. The record is from RNAcentral.